Molecule: long non-coding RNA, 137 nt
Organism: Perognathus longimembris pacificus (Pacific pocket mouse)
Lineage: Eukaryota; Metazoa; Chordata; Mammalia; Rodentia; Heteromyidae
Exons: 3
Source: RefSeq, a predicted model, not a curated record
GUGACUUGUAGCCAGUCAUAGGCUUGCUAGACAGACACUCUAACCACUUAAUCCAUGUCCUCAGCCCCUCUCCUUAGGAAAAUUGUUUUUCACAUGUGUAGACAUAGCUGAGAAAACAGGUAACUUGAAUGUAGAUU